RNAcentral lists this non-coding RNA (88 nucleotides) under uncultured Veillonella sp. RNAcentral describes it as "Glycine riboswitch". It matches the Rfam family "Glycine riboswitch aptamer", at positions 7 to 88 of the family's 94-position model. Rfam says of the family: This family represents the bacterial glycine riboswitch. Glycine riboswitches usually consist of two metabolite-binding aptamers domains with similar structures in tandem. Lineage: Bacteria; Bacillati; Bacillota; Negativicutes; Veillonellales; Veillonellaceae. The record is from RNAcentral.
ACACAACUCUGGAGAGUCCCAUUUAAUUGGGCGCCGAAGGUGCAAGGAGGCAAUCCUCCAAAAUCUCUCAGGCAAAAGGACAGAGCUU